Molecule: ribosomal RNA, 408 nt
Filed under: bacterium enrichment culture clone ALO1_GLFRUDD03GJJPN
Lineage: Bacteria
Description: bacterial SSU rRNA
Rfam family: Bacterial small subunit ribosomal RNA
Source: RNAcentral
GAGUUUGAUCAUGGCUCAGAUUGAACGCUGGCGGCAUGCCUUACACAUGCAAGUCGAACGGCAGCACGGGAGCUUGCUCCUGGUGGCGAGUGGCGAACGGGUGAGUAAUGCAUCGGAACGUAUCCUGGAGUGGGGGAUAACGUAGCGAAAGUUACGCUAAUACCGCAUAUUCUGUGAGCAGGAAAGCGGGGGACCUUCGGGCCUCGCGCUCUUGGAGCGGCCGAUGUCGGAUUAGCUAGUUGGUGAGGUAAAGGCUCACCAAGGCGACGAUCCGUAGCAGGUCUGAGAGGAUGAUCUGCCACACUGGAACUGAGACACGGUCCAGACUCCUACGGGAGGCAGCAGUGGGGAAUUUUGGGACAAUGGGGGCAACCCUGAUCCAGCCAUGCCGCGUGAGUGAAGAAGGCC